This 646-nucleotide ribosomal RNA is filed under the name Trametes sp. SYBC-L5. RNAcentral describes it as "eukaryotic LSU rRNA". It matches the Rfam family "Eukaryotic large subunit ribosomal RNA", at positions 37 to 667 of the family's 3401-position model. Lineage: Eukaryota; Fungi; Basidiomycota; Agaricomycetes; Polyporales; Polyporaceae. The record is from RNAcentral.
UGCAUAUCAAUAAGCGGAGGAAAAGAAACUAACAAGGAUUCCCCUAGUAACUGCGAGUGAAGCGGGAAAAGCUCAAAUUUAAAAUCUGGCGGUCUUUGGCCGUCCGAGUUGUAGUCUGGAGAAGCGUUUUCCGCGUUGGACCGUGUACAAGUCUCUUGGAACAGAGCGUCAUAGAGGGUGAGAAUCCCGUCUUUGACACGGACUACCAAUGCUUUGUGAUGCGCUCUCAAAGAGUCGCGUUGUUUGGGAAUGCAGCGCAAAAUGGGAGGUGAAUUCCUUCUAAAGCUAAAUAUUGGCGAGAGACCGAUAGCGAACAAGUACCGUGAGGGAAAGAUGAAAAGCACUUUGGAAAGAGAGUUAAACAGUACGUGAAAUUGCUGAAAGGGAAACGCUUGAAGUCAGUCGCGUCGUCCGGAACUCAGCCUUGCUUCGGCUCGGUGCACUUUCCGGAUGACGGGCCAGCAUCGAUUUUGACCGCUGGAAAAGGGCUGGAGGAAUGUGGCACCUUCGGGUGUGUUAUAGCCUUCAGUCGCAUACAGCGGUUGGGAUCGAGGAACGCAGCACGCCUUAUGGCUGGGGUUCGCCCACAUUCGUGCUUAGGAUGCUGGCAUAAUGGCUUUAAACGACCCGUCUUGAAACACGGACC